UGUUUCCCUGAGGAAGAAAAUCCACCGGGUAUUUAGGCAGCAUGAUCCCAUGGCCUUGGGGUCCAGACUAAAUAAAAAGAAAGGAGGAUUGAAUGGAGCACCAGCAUUUAUCUCUCUCUGACACAUCAUGGCCAGUUGCUCCAUGUUCCUGCCGCCAUGUCUGGACAUCAUGACAGGCCUUGGCCUUCUUAACCGUCAGCCAAAAGAAGUCUUCUUCUCCCUAAGCUGCAUUUGUUUCAGUCACAAGAAAAGGAAGGAGCACAGCUGCCUAGCACACAGAUACUGCUGGGGAGCCAGAGCCUCUGCUGAUUUGGAUCAAAGGCUGACAUAACAUAUUGAGGGCAAAAGGCAGGAAGCUGGUCACCACCACUUGGCCCAAGACUCUGGUAUGGUUCUGGCUCCAGUGCCACCAAGGCAAGAUGCUGGAGAUCUUCGUCAUCUGCCCUCCAGAUGGAAUUCAUUUCUGCAGUUCCCUCUAGAUCCUCCAGGUGGAGACAUACUGGGAGCAGUGUCAGAAGCAAGUGGAAGUGAGAAGGUGCUGGAGUGGGGCUGGGAGAGCCAAACCAAAUGCUCCGCACGGGAGACACGGGCCUUUCACCGUCCGGUAUCCAUUAAUCCUUGGAACCGGAGCCUCCCUGGCACACGGGCAAGACAGGAUUGAUUUUUAUGCUUAAAAAUUGGCUUAGAGCUGGUGAGAUGCCUCAGUGAGUCAAGGUGGGCACAAGUACUUGCUAUCAAGACUUUGAUGUCUGGGACCAAACGGUGUAAAGGUGGGAUUGUCCUAAAUGUCCUCAGGACCUCUGUGCUGUGGGGUAUUGGUGCACGCGCGCACACACGUACUCUCUCUGUCUCAACAAAUAAGUUUAUUAGUAAAAUAAGUUUUAAAAUGUUGGGCCUAGAAUUUUGAAUUUUCUCAUCUAAUUAUUUUCCACAGUUUUAAAAACUGAGAAACAUUAUUUUUAAUUGAUCAAAAUGAGAAAAUGACUGUUAUUAUAGUCACACAUAAGGGACAAAUUUAUGAGUUUUAUAGUGAGGUUUUCAUACCUGUAUGGGAUGUAUUUUCGUGUUCAGCCCUCGAUUACCUACUGCUGUAACUGUCUCCUGCAGAAGAGGACCAUCCAUCCUGCUGGAAAGCUCUUUAAGCAGGAAGGUAAACACCUCAAAAUAGCUUCGGGAAGUCCUUGGAACUGACCAGACCCACCAGGCUUCUCCCUCCCUGAACACGCUGUAAUUGCGGAGAGUCUCUCUCUGACAAACCACACUGCAGGGAAGACUCUGGGACGAGCCUGGGAGAAGCAGAAACCUGCUGAGCUGCCUAGGAGAGGCCUGGAGCAACUGAGGCACUUGAAUGGACACACUCUCGCCAGCCUGGUGAGCUUCUGCAGGCUGGGCAGGGAGCUCCAGGAUCUCGGCUUUUGUCAGCUGUCACCCAUGCUGGGGUGGACUUUGGUGAUGCCGCUGUCUCUGAGUCAUUUCUGCUUCUGUAAGCACCAGCAGUUUCUUCCACUGCCGUAGAUUCCUCUAAAACAUGGGGCUAAGAAGGCUGUAUCCCAAGAGUCUUGAAGAUCGACUGAACCAAGUUCUGAGAGGACUUGUGGACCGGCACAUAACAGGCGCUCUACAAGUAUGUGGGUGAGGGACGGACUGACAGAGGGGUUCAAGACCUGUUUGACUUGGCAGAGGAUUAGGUCCAUGUGGGGGCAUUUCCUCCAUCAGGGCCUCCCUCUGCCCACGGGCAGCUUUUCCAUGGUGUUUUAUUGCAAGUUCUUUUCCCUCACUUUGUUUAUCUGACUCACAGGAAAUAUUCCUAGAAAAACCUCAAGGAACCAACUUCUUUUGUGCCCCAGGGCAGCAGACAGUUGGAUUUGUUAUCUGCCACAGAACUCCAACCGUUGGGGCCCUGGGAAGGGGCUGGGGUGGCAGUGGGGAUUAAUUCACAUCAUAAAGGCUGCUUCAGUAAAAAGAACUUAUCCUCCGAACCAUGGGUAAGGUAGAGUCAGAAGAUAAGGGAAUUCUUUCCACCCCCACAUCACACAGCCCUCAGUCUGGGCUGAGGCACCUCCUGUCCCCUGUUCCUUCUGCCUUUCCACAGAAUGGUCACACCAGCAGCAGUCAAAACUGCUUUGAAGGCACCAGCCUCUGGGGAAGCCCCGCUUCUGUCCUGGUUGUGGGAAGAGAGCCAUUUGGCAUGCAAAAAAGAAACAGGCCAUCUGGAGAAGCCUGAG
Long non-coding RNA from Alexandromys fortis (reed vole), 2225 nucleotides. RefSeq lists it as uncharacterized. The record is from RefSeq and is a predicted model, not a curated record. Lineage: Eukaryota; Metazoa; Chordata; Mammalia; Rodentia; Cricetidae. The transcript has 5 exons.